AGACAAGAGGGCAACCUGGCUGAAACGCCUGUCACCCACUGAUUGCCAGGUGUGAUUCUGCUGCUCUGGCUGGCUAGGUGGUAUCCCUUUCUCCCUUACCGUUCUGCCUGCUGCAUCCCUCCUGAAACUGUGCAGGUGGAAGAGGAUGGCUACUCUUGGUAGAAGAUAUCAGCUCCUCAAUCAGGGGCAUAGAAAUGUGAAAAAGACCUCCUUCACAAAAAAUUAUUUGAUACCAUCUGCAUGGCCAGUU
Cavia porcellus (domestic guinea pig) is the source of this 250-nucleotide non-coding RNA. It matches the Rfam family "7SK RNA". Rfam says of the family: 7SK was discovered as an abundant small nuclear RNA in the mid-70s but a possible function has only recently been suggested. Lineage: Eukaryota; Metazoa; Chordata; Mammalia; Rodentia; Caviidae. The record is from Rfam.